GUACACUCCUGCGGGAGGCAGCAGUGGGGAAUUUUGGACAAUGGGCGAAAGCCUGAUCCAGCAAUGCCGCGUGAGUGAAGAAGGCCUUCGGGUUGUAAAGCUCUUUUGUCAGGGAAGAAACGGUGAAAGCUAAUAUCUUUUGCUAAUGACGGUACCUGAAGAAUAAGCACCGGCUAACUACGUGCCAGCAGCCGCGGUAAUACGUAGGGUGCAAGCGUUAAUCGGAAUUACUGGGCGUAAAGCGUGCGCAGGCGGUUUUGUAAGUCUGAUGUGAAAUCCCCGGGCUCAACCUGGGAAUUGCAUUGGAGACUGCAAGGCUAGAAUCUGGCAGAGGGGGGUAGAAUUCCACGUGUAGCAGUGAAAUGCGUAGAUAUGUGGAGGAACACCGAUGGCGAAGGCAGCCCCCUGGGUCAAGAUUGACGCUCAUGCACGAAAGCGUGGGGAGCAAACAGGAUUAGAAACCCUUGUAGUCCCAUGAU
This 479-nucleotide ribosomal RNA is filed under the name uncultured organism. Its description in RNAcentral is "partial 16S ribosomal RNA". It matches the Rfam family "Bacterial small subunit ribosomal RNA", at positions 331 to 801 of the family's 1533-position model. The record is from RNAcentral.